UUAGUCUUCACAGAUUUGCCAGUGAUGUGUCAGAUAUAACACAACUCUUUCAGUAAAUGACUACAAAUAUGAGGCACACAUAUGGUCAGUGUCCAUAACACUGGACAAUUGAAUGGUAUGAGCUCAGUAUA
Molecule: small nucleolar RNA, 131 nt
Organism: Protopterus annectens (West African lungfish)
Lineage: Eukaryota; Metazoa; Chordata; Ceratodontiformes; Protopteridae
Product: small nucleolar RNA SNORA17
Exons: 1
Source: RefSeq, a predicted model, not a curated record